AUUCUAAAAAAUAUUAUUAAGUUUUAAUAGACGUAUAAAUAUGUUUUGUUUUGCGCUACAAAAUUCAAAAUUUUCCAAAAUAUUCGAUUUCAAAUUACAUAUAAACAAGUCCCAUCGUGUGAAUCGCAGCCGCACGUGCCGCCACACUAAGUGUACCAGCACUUAAUUUGUAUGAAUACACAAUAUGCAAUCUUAUGAUUUAUUUAACGUAUACUCUUCCUCUUUCCACCUAAUGACCAAUAUUCUAGCUCUUUCCAUACCACAUCGUAAAUCUCUCUGUCUCUUUUCCGGCAAACGAUACGCCACUGGAUAGUUUUUUCUUUACUUUUUGACUAUAAUAAUAAUCCAAUCUGAUCCAGACUAUGCAAUCUACUAAAUAAGAUGAUUCCGCGAUUCGGUUUACUGGUACCUUUAAAAUUGUGGAUGCCACAGACAUUUGUGGUAUUAAACAUGUUAAGAAUUCACCGUCUGCAGCUAUGGAACAGUCAAAAGCUAAAGAUGAACAAAAGCUAAAACUUUUCCCCGUUGCACAACUACAAUCAUUAUAUCUUCGAACUUGCACGGAUCUUGGAAACUAAGUUUAACACACUCAAAUUAUUCCAAAAAAGUGCGUUUGAUGCCAGAAUUUGAUUGGCUGUUACAAAAUAUGACUGUAAUUGAAAUUAAACAAGGGGUAUAGCUUGUUACAGAAUCCACUAAAUUUUGAAGGAUCUCCGGAGAUACCGCUAGUCAAAAGGAAUUGAGCUCAGAAAUUGUAUUUUCUCUCGUUUUGUUGAACGAAACUGUUCUUUUGCGUUUUAAAAGAAACCAGACGUUUUCAAUAAUAUUAAAAUCUGGACUUUAUGGAGGCCAGUGUAAGGUGGUAACACCAACAUCCCUCAUAAAUGUGGUAAUCAUACGGGCUUUGUUGCGUGGGGCAUUAUCCUGUUGCAGGACUAAUGACUCUCCGAUCAGCCUAUUACCGGAGGGGAAUGCGUGCUCAUGUAGGGUGUAUAAAUAAUUUCCCUGGUUCAUUGAGCCGGUGAUAGGAAUAAAGUCUCCUAGCCCACUGUAUGCAACACAACCCCGAAACAUGACAAAGCCUCCGCCAUGGCUCACUUUUUUACAACCCGUUUAUUUUUUCUUUGCUUUGUGGGCAUUCUUAUGAAAACUUUAGUAUAUACUUCUAUAUAUUAUCAAGUCAACAAUUAUUAAAUUAUAUUAUUAUAAACUGUUUCAGAUUUUAUGAAACACGUGACCUUGUUUUUGAUUCGGCGCACUAGCCCACUAGUUGUUUUUAAAUUAAAUCAAUAGACCUACUCAUGUAAAAAUAUUUUCUCUGAUUGUUUACAAAAACAAAACCAUCAAACAUUAUUUUUAAACACAAAUUUGUUAAUGUAUAUGUACAAAACUAUUUAUUUAUAUAUGUAUGUAUGCAAUAAGAACAGUGAUUUUACAGAUGAGUACCCUGUAUAAUAAUUUAUUUGUAAUUAUGUACCUAUUACGAGAUUUUGGCAAAUCAUGUGAAUAUACAUUCUAUA
Molecule: long non-coding RNA, 1520 nt
Organism: Drosophila miranda
Lineage: Eukaryota; Metazoa; Arthropoda; Insecta; Diptera; Drosophilidae
Exons: 3
Source: RefSeq, a predicted model, not a curated record